CAUCUGUGUAUCAAGUAAAGUGUGGAGGGAAUGCAGUAAAGUUGUUAUAAGCAAGACCUCGUACUAAUAAAUUAGCUUUCCAAGUCUUUGUAAAGAACCUUUUUUAACUAUUAAGUAAUGCUGCCCAUAUUUGGAGAUGCUAUUAAGACCUUGAACACACAUCCUGCGGAGUCUUGGAAAGAAAAAUGAUUAACAUCGAUGGAACAAUUGGCAAACAAUAUAUAUAGGAGAUAGAAGCAGAUAACAUUUGUAAUCAACUACAAUUUAUGCUACAUAUUAUUUGGCUUAAAACUAAGUAAUAAUACUUUCCUAAGGUCACCCCAUUUCGUUUAAGACAACAGACAAACCUAACAUUCGCAUGGAAUUUUUUAACAGCAGGCGGACAUUUCUCAAAUAAAAAAA
Non-coding RNA from Schizosaccharomyces pombe (fission yeast), 402 nucleotides. The record is from the annotation of a GenBank genome assembly. NCBI's taxonomy places the organism in Eukaryota, Fungi, Ascomycota, Schizosaccharomycetes, Schizosaccharomycetales, Schizosaccharomycetaceae.